CUUGAUUAAUUAUAAGAGGUAUAGCCUGCCCAGUGACACAUGUUUAACGGCCGCGGUAUCCUAACCGUGCGAAGGUAGCGUAAUCACUUGUUCUUUAAAUGAGGACUAGUAUGAACGGCACCACGAAGGUUAUACUGUCUCCUUUCUCCAAUCAGUAAAACUAAUCUCCCCGUGAAGAAGCGAGGAUAAAUUUAUAAGACGAGAAGACCCUAUGGAGCUUUAAACUAACCAGCAUUUGCUAUAUACAAAUUUUUAACUUAGACAAUCUAGCCCUCUGACUGGUAAUUUUCGAUUGGGGUGAUCACGGAACAAAAAAUAACCUCCGUGUCGAAAGGAUAAACCUGAGCAAAAAGCGACAGCUUUCCGCACUAAAAAAUUAACGUUCAUUGACCCAAUAUUUUGAUCAACGAAC
RNAcentral lists this ribosomal RNA (412 nucleotides) under Boana punctata group sp. ABGD cluster 84. RNAcentral describes it as "partial large subunit ribosomal RNA". It matches the Rfam family "Bacterial large subunit ribosomal RNA", at positions 1834 to 2446 of the family's 2925-position model. The record is from RNAcentral. Lineage: Eukaryota; Metazoa; Chordata; Amphibia; Anura; Hylidae.